Long non-coding RNA from Epinephelus moara (kelp grouper), 1568 nucleotides. RefSeq lists it as uncharacterized. The transcript has 3 exons. Lineage: Eukaryota; Metazoa; Chordata; Actinopteri; Perciformes; Serranidae. The record is from RefSeq and is a predicted model, not a curated record.
AGGCACCGAACCCCCCAACCGCUCGGGGCGCCUCACCAAGGGCAGCCCCCUCACUCUGACAUCUCUCCACUUUGUGCAUGUAUAGGUCCUAUUUGUGCAUGUGUGUGUCUUUCGGACCUGUGUGUAAUUGACAAGCAAGAGUGAAAACGUUGAAUUUCUCCUCAGGGGGAUUAAUAAAGUAAAUAAACUUAAACUUAAACAAAAGAUAGAGUGAUGUUUGUAACAACAUACAGCACAGAAGCAGAAAAUGUUAAACGUAUUAUAUAAAGAAAUUAGGGCAUUAUUGAAAGUGAUAAUACACUUAGUCAAGUUUUCCCUGAACCACCUUUAAUCAGUUUCAGGAGGUGCCCCACCCUACAGGAUAAACUGGUACACAGCCAUCUUAAACCAAACAUCCAACAAACAUGGUUGGAUAUCAAACCUAGAGGGUCCUACAAGUGUAACCAGUAAAACCACUGCACAAAUGUAAUGCAAACUAAAAACAUUUAUAGAUUUUACAUCUCAGAAAGAGUUCACUAUCAAUCAUUUCAUAAACUGUAAAACUACUUUUGUCAUGUAUAGGUUGGAGUGUCCCAGUUGUAAAGUGUUCUACAUUGGAAGAUCAAAAAGACGUCUUCAAGACAGUUUUAUCUUAUUUUAGGGUGGGUCUUUACAGAUGUUGGCUGUUUUUCCAGACCAGGUGGAAGAUUUUCAUUGGUGGAACACCACUACAAAAGAAUAAGGUGUUUCCUCAUAACUCUGUUUGACUCCCUGACGUAGGCUAUAUGCCGAAACGUGUCGGAGUUUGGUUUUUAAUGUCACUGUGACAAUGCCAUGUGAAUAAAGGCAUUUUAUAGAUUUAAAGAGAGUGUCUUGGACUUUUCUGUGUUUUUUUGUAGGCUGAGGUUAAUUGAAUUCCUGUGAAAUGACUUUAUGUAAUCUCCUUUAUUCUCAGAUGGAGCUAUAAUGGGAUGUUGAGUCUCAUAAAUGAGCCAAUUACACUGCGGAAUCUUUGAAUAUAUGAAAAGUAUUCAUAAAUCAUUGCAUUAUGUAUCUGCAUAGAUUUAUUUCUUAUUAACACUGAAAAACCUGCAGUUCUGUGGAAUUCCUCUUUUUUUAAAGAUUAUUUCUUGGGCUUUUGUUGUCUUUAUUGGCAAAACAGCAUCAUGUUAACGGGAGAGAGGGAACAACAGGCGUGGGAGGCUGCAUGCUGGGUUUGAACCCACGGCUGCUGCAUCAAGGACUGAGCAUCAGAUCACGGAGCGCCCGCUCUUUCCACAAAGCCACUGAAGCUCCAUGGCAAUUACUUUGAUAAUCGCUUCUGAUUUAUGCCCAGGGAACUCCACAAAAACAGGCAAAAGUCCUUUCAGAGCCAGAGUCACUUUUCUUACAGCCUGACAAACCGCUGCCCCGCUUACGUGUUCAGUGUCCCCGAUGUUAUAAAGAAAACUGCUGCUGCCGAAGAAUCAAAGGGCAACGCAUAAAAUUUGCUCCGAUGAUAAUGUAAAUCCACAAUGUGUAAUAUUUGAUAUAUCUGGGUGGAACAGAUUGUUAAGAUAAAUGUUAGAGUGUGAGGUGAAAUUGUGUUU